Molecule: small nuclear RNA, 108 nt
Organism: Jaculus jaculus (lesser Egyptian jerboa)
Lineage: Eukaryota; Metazoa; Chordata; Mammalia; Rodentia; Dipodidae
Source: Ensembl
GUGCUCACUUUAGCAGCAUAUAUAUGAAAAUCAAAAUGAUGACCAAGAUAAUUAGCAUAGACCCUGAGCAAAGAUGACAAUCAUAUUCAUGAGGCACUCCACUUUUUU